RNAcentral lists this ribosomal RNA (406 nucleotides) under uncultured bacterium. RNAcentral's name for it is "partial 16S ribosomal RNA". It matches the Rfam family "Bacterial small subunit ribosomal RNA", at positions 30 to 526 of the family's 1533-position model. The record is from RNAcentral.
AUUGAACGCUGGCGGCAGGCCUAACACAUGCAAGUCGAACGAGUGGCGGACGGGUGAGUAAUGUCUGGGAAACUGCCUGAUGGAGGGGGAUAACUACUGGAAACGGUAGCUAAUACCGCAUACCAUCAGAUGUGCCCAGAUGGGAUUAGCUUGUUGGUGGGGUAACGGGUUACCAAGGCGACGAUCCCUAGCUGGUCUGAGAGGAUGACCAGCCACCAUGGAACGGAGACCCUGUCCAGACUCUGACGGGAGGCAGCAGUGGGGAAUAUUGCACAUGGGGCGAAAGCCUGCUGCGGCCAUGCCGCGUGUAUGAAGAAGGCCUUCGGGUUGUAAAGUACUUUCAGCGGGGAGGCGUUACCCGCAGAAGAAGCACCGGCUAACUCCGUGCCAGCAGCCGCGGUAAUAC